This 253-nucleotide ribosomal RNA is filed under the name uncultured bacterium. Its description in RNAcentral is "partial 16S ribosomal RNA". It matches the Rfam family "Bacterial small subunit ribosomal RNA", at positions 524 to 776 of the family's 1533-position model. The record is from RNAcentral.
GACAGAGGAUGCAAGCGUUACUCGGAAUUACUGGGCGUAAAGCGUGCGUAGGCGGUUUGUUAAGUCUGUCGUGAAAGCCCCGGGCUCAACCUGGGAAUGGCGAUGGAAACUGGUGAGCUAGAGUACGGUAGAGGGCAGUGGAAUUCCCGGUGUAGCAGUGAAAUGCGUAGAGAUCGGGAGGAACAUCAGUUGCGAAGGCGGCUGCCUGGACCAGUACUGACGCUGAGGCACGAAAGCGUGGGGAGCAAACAGG